GCAAUAAAAUGACACACUGAUUCAUGAAAUGGUCUGCCUAUUCGGAAAAGAUGCAAACUUUGUACGAACAGAUAUGAUCUUUCAGGAAAGGUCACACCUUUAAGUGAACCAUUGCCACCUUUCAGAAGAGGCAUAUGAAGGCUAUAUAAACCUACUUUCAUCCACAGUUUUAGACACGAUUUUUCUGAAUUACAAACUCUCUUCUUGUUUUCAAAAUAUUUUGUGUGAUUAAUCAAACUGUU
RNAcentral lists this long non-coding RNA (242 nucleotides) under Capsicum annuum. RNAcentral's name for it is "long non-coding RNA (CANN_LNC017758)". Lineage: Eukaryota; Viridiplantae; Streptophyta; Magnoliopsida; Solanales; Solanaceae. The record is from RNAcentral.